Molecule: transfer RNA, 74 nt
Filed under: Pirellulaceae bacterium
Lineage: Bacteria; Pseudomonadati; Planctomycetota; Planctomycetia; Pirellulales; Pirellulaceae
Description: tRNA-Arg
Rfam family: tRNA
About the family: Transfer RNA (tRNA) molecules are approximately 80 nucleotides in length. Their secondary structure includes four short double-helical elements and three loops (D, anti-codon, and T loops).
Source: RNAcentral
AAAGGCGUAGCUCAACGGAUCAGAGCUCCCCGUUUCUACCGGGAUGGUUGCAGGUUCAAAUCCUGCCGUCUUUA